Molecule: long non-coding RNA, 2028 nt
Organism: Pygocentrus nattereri (red-bellied piranha)
Lineage: Eukaryota; Metazoa; Chordata; Actinopteri; Characiformes; Serrasalmidae
Exons: 4
Source: RefSeq, a predicted model, not a curated record
AGCAUUCUUUUCAGUGCUACUAAAGAAGGCAGACUCCAUCAUUUGUCUCACUCUACCACUGCUGGAGAUAUCUAAGGAGUUGCAAAGAGAGCGCUUCUGGCUUGGUGAGACUGUUGCCUGUGUUGCCAUGGUGACCAGUAAUCUGCAUACCAAUCUAUAGAACUGUCAGGCCUGCUGUGUCCAAUUAAGGCACUCAGCUCCAUCUCUUUUUAGUUCCAAAGGCUUGUUUUUCUCGUUGGCCCAGCGGCUGGAGAGUCUUGCAUCCCCCGUCUCUCCUGGUUUGGAUUUCUCCUGGCAGAGUAUGGCACAUGCUGGAGUACAGUGGAUGCACCAGCAGAUGGGUGGAACACUGGAAACUUUGGCCUGCUGUUCAAGGAGCUGCACACAAGUUCAGAAACAGCCUAGGUCAUAAUGCCUGCUGAGCUGAGCUGCCCGCCGUAGCACGUGUUGAUCACAUCAGCAGAUUGACUGGAGGUGCCUGAGCUACUGCUUUGAACUGAGCUGCUGUUCCCGACAGGAGAUCAUUACUUCAUCACACUGCUAGGAUUUGUUCUAUUCCAGCCACAGUCAGGAAUUGCUGCAAACAGCAGGCCAGGAUUUGUUCCUAACACAACAGAGGCCUCUGAACAAUGGCAGCAGAGCUACCAGACUGUAGCCUACUAAACUGCAUGCUGUCUGCUUUAAUGGCAUUGAUUAAACUCACCAGUUUUCUUUUUAGAAAGUCUUACAAAGCUCUAAAUAAUGUGAACUACUGGGCAUAAACCUGCAAUAAAUUAAGGUUGUUCAUGUUUAGCAUAGCUUUGUAUGUUCACCAAGUAUCCAAAAGUUUGUGGGCACCCGUUUGUCCAGUGUUUGAAUCAAGGAACUAUCCCACUAUUUAUUGAAGCAACUACUCUUCUGGGAGGGCUACUAUGGUGGAACAUUGCUUUGAGGAUUUGAUUGCAUUCAGGUGCAAGAGCAUGAGUGAAGUCAGACACUGAUAGGGGAUGAUUAGAUCUAGAUGAUAAAUGACACUGUAACUCAUCCCAAAGGUAUUAGAUGGAGCUCCUUCACUCAGAACACAGGAAUGUUGAAAUGCUCAUUUAUUUAUUGAUUGAUUGAUGUUGGCUGGCUAAUGCAGAAGAAAGGCAGAUGCUUUUACUGCUGGAAAGCCAAAAACUGUGUCUGUAUUUAUUUAUGAUCUUAUAAAUCAGUGGUUCAGUGACAGAUUUAUGCAGCUUUUGCUGGGUAUUGUAAUGAUAGACCAUUGAUGAAUCAAAAGCACAGUAGAAGUAGAACUGGGAGUUCUAUCAAAAGAAUGAGCCUUAGGCAUGCAAUGCUGUAAAUACUGCCUAGCAGGACAUACACUCACCAGCCACAUUAUUAGGUACACAUUGCUAGUGAAAGGUCAGACCCCCUUUUGCCUUCAGAACUGCCUCAGAUGAAACUGGCCCCAGCAAAGCUUCUUAGAGCAUUCACUAUUACCCAAUGGCUUAUAAUACCCAAAGUGGAGCCUGGGAUGUCUUUUAGAAGCCCCAAAUGUCUAUUUUUAAUGUAGAAUGGGCAAAAAAAGGUUUGGCUUGGUGCUAGAAACUAUGAGAAUCCCAUUGGGGUGCUAGCAGAAUUUAGCAUUCAUGUACAGGUGGGUUUUUUUUUAUUAUAUUUUGAGCAGGUUUAUACAAUUAUGGCUUGAAUUGAAGGCCUAGCUCUAAUAGUCACAGUUCGCCACUGACAAUACUUGAGUAAGCCCAUUAUAUAUCCCCCCCCAUUUGUUAUUCUGUCCCAGAACUGUACACUGUUUUAUUAGAGGUCCCUCCUCUCUGACUGGUUUUCAGAUAGCUAUAGAAAGAUAGUGUGAGUAUAACACACUAGACAAUGCCUUCAAGAACCCCAUACAACAACACCUGUGAGAAACAGGGCUCUGCUUGAACUGUUUAGGCCAUUAUAGUGUAACUAAUGUCAUUACAAAGUCUUGAUAGAGAACACAGUAUGUGAUUUGUGAUCUGUUUGAUAACUAUGAAUAAACAUGUUGGAUGAAAUGAUAACUAA